ACCUGGCGGGCUCAGUGGGUGGAGCAUGAGACUCUUGAUCUCAGGCUUGUGAGUUUGAGCUCCAUGUUGGGUA
Molecule: transfer RNA, 73 nt
Filed under: Ailuropoda melanoleuca (giant panda)
Lineage: Eukaryota; Metazoa; Chordata; Mammalia; Carnivora; Ursidae
Rfam family: tRNA
About the family: Transfer RNA (tRNA) molecules are approximately 80 nucleotides in length. Their secondary structure includes four short double-helical elements and three loops (D, anti-codon, and T loops).
Source: Rfam by way of RNAcentral